GACGAACGCUGGCGGCGUGCCUAACACAUGCAAGUCACGGGGGGUAGCAAUACCAACCGGCGAACGGGUGCGGAACACGUGAGCAAUCUGCCGAUUUCUGGGGGAUAGCCGGCCCAACGGCCGGGUAAUACCGCGUACGCUCAUUGGGGGACAUCCCCUGGUGAGGAAACCUACGGGGGAAAUCGAGGAGCUCGCGUCCUAUCAGCUUGUUGGCGGGGUAACGGCCCACCAAGGCUAUGACGGGUAGCUGGUCUGAGAGGAUGGCCAGCC
RNAcentral lists this ribosomal RNA (270 nucleotides) under uncultured bacterium. RNAcentral's name for it is "partial 16S ribosomal RNA". It matches the Rfam family "Bacterial small subunit ribosomal RNA", at positions 28 to 309 of the family's 1533-position model. The record is from RNAcentral.